Molecule: ribosomal RNA, 468 nt
Filed under: uncultured bacterium
Lineage: Bacteria
Description: partial 16S ribosomal RNA
Rfam family: Bacterial small subunit ribosomal RNA
Source: RNAcentral
GACGAACGCUGGCGGCGUGCUUAACACAUGCAAGUCGAACGGAAAGGCCCUGCUUUUGUGGGGUGCUCGAGUGGCGAACGGGUGAGUAACACGUGAGUAACCUGCCCUUGACUUUGGGAUAACUUCAGGAAACUGGGGCUAAUACCGGAUAGGAGCUCCUGCUGCAUGGGGGGGGUUGGAAAGUUUCGGCGGUUGGGGAUGGACUCGCGGCUUAUCAGCUUGUUGGUGGGGUAGUGGCUUACCAAGGCUUUGACGGGUAGCCGGCCUGAGAGGGUGACCGGCCACAUUGGGACUGAGAUACGGCCCAGACUCCUACGGGAGGCAGCAGGGGGGAAUAUUGCACAAUGGGCGGAAGCCUGAUGCAGCAACGCCGCGUGCGGGAUGACGGCCUUCGGGGUGUAAACCGCUUUCGCCUGUGACGAAGCGUGAGUGACGGUAAUGGGUAAAGAAGCACCGGCUAACUACGUG